This 567-nucleotide small RNA is filed under the name Arabidopsis thaliana (thale cress). Its description in RNAcentral is "ATSL093440". The record is from RNAcentral. Lineage: Eukaryota; Viridiplantae; Streptophyta; Magnoliopsida; Brassicales; Brassicaceae.
AUUGGUCACAAUUGAUGUGUUAGUUUCGGUGUUGGAAUGAUCUAUUUCCGUCCCCACAGACGGCGCCAAAUGUGGGUUCUGAAAUCCACACUAGAGAUUUGUAAUUGAGAUUAUGAGAGUUAUAUUGCUAAGAACGAAUGGACUUUUUGUAUUGAUAAUGACAAAGCUUUUACAAUGUGAAAGGAGAUUACAAGUGUAAAAGUAUGUGUGUGAAUGUAAGCUGAAUUGAAUGUGUCUUCCAAGUCGUCCUUGCUCCCUUAUAUAGGUCUACGCACGUGGUAGCUCCGUCCGGGAUCUGCGGAGGUCCUCCUGGAUAUUCGGCAGGUUAGUUCCGAAUAUCAGGUCCGCUCCGCGAAUAUCUCCUCAUCAGUUCCUAGGUUGUUAUUCGCUUAUCUCCCUUCAUCAGGUGACCGGGCUUAUCGGGCCCAAAUACCCAUUAGCGUAUGUGGGCUCAUCAGCUGCGUAGGUCCUCUACUUGGUGGGCUUGAUGGGCAUUUGUGGGCUGACUUGGUAUUUUCGCAGGUGGAUUCCUGGAGGGAAAUCCAGCUCCAACAGGUAUGAUAAAAA